UAUUGCAGCCAGGAAACCGCAUUAAACGGGUGGCUGCCCCAAACCUUUUCACGCCUCUGGUCUCCAGUUAUUACAAGCUCUUUGCAGGCCUGUCCAGUCCAACAAUAUGGACACUACACAAACUGGGUAUUUAAAUCAGCAGGAAAAGGCCAUUGCAUUCAAUUCUGUUAAUUUUCCUGCUUGUGAUGAAAAUUUCACCAGUUGUACUUGAAACUCAGUUACAGGAAUAAUCAUAUUAUCUAUUAAAUGCAUGUGACUAGCAAUCCAAAGUCUCCAUGAACAGUUUGUUUAAAAUUAUUAAAGUUGUUUAAUUGUAUGUUUUGGUUUUCAUUAAAAGAUGAUUGUCCAGCAUCUUUACCAGGAACACUUAUCACAACAGAAAAACUAGCUGGAACGAUCAUCAGUUCAUUUCUAGGGGUGUUCUUGUAGCAGUGAUUGCAUUUCUUGUUGCAAACAGCAUCAGGAGGGGCCCACUUUGCAGAAAUGUUUCAAAUAUUAAAGCAGACAUCAACGAGAACCCAACCGGCACUUAUGAAAAUGUGCACAACACAAAUAGAAUGGAUGAAGAUCCUUCUCUUCCAAGUCCUUCCACAGAUCAACUUUACAUGGGUCUGCAGCCUCGACAGCAGUCAGUCUACCACUCUCUCCAAGGAAAAUGCCUGCUUAGCAUAAGAUGGAGAAAUGUUUAUAUUGGGACAGUCAUUUGUGAUCACUAGACAGCUCCUUCAGUAGCAGUUACAGGAAAUAUGCAAUAUUGCUAUGUUUUAUUAUUGUGUUUUAAAAGAUUUUAAGCCAUAAUGAUGACAUAUUUUUCUAAACCUUAAACACACUUUUAAAUCUUAGCAAAGUCAAAACGACUCACAUUCAUGGUGUCUUCCAUUACAGCUUCAUGAGUUGUCAUGGCCUACACUUCUUUAAACAGUAGUCAUGGUGUUGCUACUGCUAUUUAAUGCUUUAAUGGUCACAAAGUUGAAGGCCAUUGUAAAAUAUCUCUUUCACAUUUGACAAAACACUUUACUGCCUAUAUGUUAGGCAUCUGAGGGGCACAUAAACUUUGUAUUAAGAUACCUUGAAGAUCAGGAUUGGAAUCAAAUAAUCCAACUACUAUUUAUGUUUGAUGUGCUUCUCUUUGUAUAAGGCCAUUGAGGAUACUCAGGCUCUUCUUCAAAUGCAAGCAUUUUAAAACAAUUAAUCUCAUAUUUUCUAAAAAUUGUUUUUCAAUGGAAACAGAUUUUCAAAUAUGACUCAUCUACUGCAAAAGAUUUAUAUACAGUACGGCAAAACGCAAGAUUUCUAUAUUUUGCUGAGGCCAGCUAAUGUGAACAUUAAAGAUUUGUAAUGAUGGUGUAACUUUGAAAUAAAAGCAGCUGCUGAAUCCCCAGUGGUGGGAUGAGCUAGCAGUGGAGGCCAGAAGAGGAGAUAGAACAGCAAGCGGAAUUGGUACCUGACUUUUGUGGAACCCACGUACUCCAAGC
This is a long non-coding RNA of Polypterus senegalus (gray bichir), 1475 nucleotides long. RefSeq lists it as uncharacterized. The record is from RefSeq and is a predicted model, not a curated record. The transcript has 5 exons. Lineage: Eukaryota; Metazoa; Chordata; Cladistia; Polypteriformes; Polypteridae.